UUCAGCGGCGGGCCUUGGCGGGGGUACCUUCGGGUACGCCGGUUGCUGUUGGUACCGGUUCGCUAACCCCGCCUUGUGCCCGCCACCCUC
RNAcentral lists this non-coding RNA (90 nucleotides) under Collimonas sp. OK242. The record is from RNAcentral. Lineage: Bacteria; Pseudomonadati; Pseudomonadota; Betaproteobacteria; Burkholderiales; Oxalobacteraceae.